Molecule: ribosomal RNA, 468 nt
Filed under: uncultured bacterium
Lineage: Bacteria
Description: partial 16S ribosomal RNA
Rfam family: Bacterial small subunit ribosomal RNA
Source: RNAcentral
GACGAACGCUGGCGGCGUGCUUAACACAUGCAAGUCGAACGGCAAGGCCCUGCGUUUUUGGGGUGCUCGAGUGGCGAACGGGUGAGUAACACGUGAGUAACCUGCCCUUGACUUUGGGAUAACUUCAGGAAACUGGGGCUAAUACCGGAUAGGAGCUCCUGCUCCAUGGUGGGCGUUGGAAAGUUUCGGCCGUUGGGGAUGGAUUCGCGGCUUAUCAGCUUGUUGGUGGGGUAGUGGCUGACCAAGGCAUUGACCGGUAGGCGGCCUGAGAGGGUGAACGGGGACCAUGGGACUGAGAUACGGAGCAGACUGCUACGGGAGGCAGCAGUGGGGAAUAUUGCACAGUGGGCGGGAGUCUGAUGCAGCGACGCCGCGUGCGGGAAGACGGCCUUUUGGUUGUGAACCGCAGUCGCCUGUGACGAAGCGUGAGUGACGGUAAUGGGUAAAGAAGCACCGGCUAACUACGUG